AGGACGAACGCUGGCGGCGUGCUUAACACAUGCAAGUCGAACGAUGAUCCGGUUUCGGCCGGGGAUUAGUGGCGAACGGGUGAGUAACACGUGAGCAACCUGCCCCUGGCUCUGGGAUAGCCUCCGGAAACGGGGAUUAAUACCGGACAUUCUCCUUCUUCCGCAUGGUUGAGGGUGGAAAGUUUUUCGGCCGGGAGGGCUCGCGGCCUAUCAGCUUGUUGGCGGGGUAACGGCCCACCAAGGCGACGACGGGUAGCCGGCCUGAGAGGGCGACCGGCCACACUGGGACUGAGACACGGCCCAGACUCCUACGGGAGGCAGCAGUGGGGAAUAUUGCGCAAUGGGCGGAAGCCUGACGCAGCGACGCCGCGUGGGGGAUGAAGGCCUUCGGGUUGUAAACCCCUUUCACCAGGAGCGAAUCAAGACGGUACCUGGGGAAGAAGCGCCGGCUAACUACGUGCCAGCAGCCGC
RNAcentral lists this ribosomal RNA (471 nucleotides) under uncultured bacterium. RNAcentral's name for it is "SSU rRNA". It matches the Rfam family "Bacterial small subunit ribosomal RNA", at positions 26 to 518 of the family's 1533-position model. The record is from RNAcentral.